GCUGCAUGUGUUUCCCUGCCUGCCUGCUUCUGGCCUGUAGCGCAUGGUGCACUGUGCUGUGAGCCGCCUGGCCUGUUGCCUCGACAACAACACGACAACAAGCACAGCGUGCAUAACUCUGUGUGUGUGUGUGUGUGUGUGUGCGUGUGCGUGUGCGGGUGCGGGUGUGUAUUGCAACAGGGACAAUUCUGAUACUUUUCAACCUGUGCGCUACUAAAAACACCAGGGUCAUUUUCUAAAAAGACAAUGAAGCAGACAAAAAACCUCGCAGAAAUGGAAAAAAAGAUGCAGCGCAACAAGAAAACGUUUAAAUGUGCGUACACGAGGUCCUCAACGACAGCGUUGUAAGUCGAGUUUUAGUGUAAGUGGGAGAUCACACCUAAAUAAACUCAACUAAACCAAGUCAGUCACGCUGCACACACAACACGGACAACACAGCAGCUCCUUCCUGUUCUGCCUGUGGUCGUCUGGCACACUGGAAGGGGGGAACAUGGUACAACACGGUAACACCAAGUGUUGUAACAUGAAACAGCACAACAUGAAACGUUGUAACACGAAGCAUUGUUUUAACAUGAAGCAUUAUGGAAUGUGGUAACAUGAAACGCCAUAACAUGAAGCAGUGUAACAGGAACAUUGUAACACGAAGUGUUGUAACACGGAGCGGCGUAACAUGAACUGUUGUAAAAAUGAAGCAGUGUAACAUGGAAUGGAGUAACAUGAAAGGCUGUAACACGAAACGUUGUAACACGAAACGUUGUAACACAAAGCUUUUUAUUUAAAAACAUAAAGCGGUGUAACAAGACGCACCGUAACAUGGAAUGUUGUAACAUGAAACAUCUUCUACGACACGUUGUAACAUGAAAUGCUGUAACAUGAAAUGUCAAAACCCGAAACGUCGUAAGACUGAACACCGUAACAGAUGUGGCUGUAACACGGACCGCCAGUACGCUAGCAAGAAUACAGUUUGUCAGCCAUCUAGCAGGUGUUGGUGUUGAUGUUACCGUAGCAGCGUCCUGCCCCAUCUAGCAGGUGUUGGUGUUGAUGUUACCGUAGCAGCGUCCUGCUCCAAAGUCUUCCCUUACGGAGGAAGAAAGCACACAAGAGGCAGACUACAAAACAAAAGGCACUUUUGGCCUUUGAGACGAGGUUCUGCUGUGCCAGAGUGUAAAAGAAGCAGUUUUUUGGACAAAGGAAAAUGUUUUUUAAAGUUGUUCCCUCCAAAAAAAAGGCUCGCUCUUAUUAAAUAUGAAAGGCGGGCAAAUUAAGGCCAGGGUGAAAAAUGUUGGAAUUGUUCCUUUUCCACUAAGUUGAUGUGAAAGCUUGCGUGCGUGCAUGAAGAACACAAAACGCCACAACGGCUCUGAUUGUUCUCUUCUCUCUCUCUCAAGCCUUGAUGGCUGCUCUCCUCACACGCCCUUCAUUGUUCAUUGGAUGAGAGAUUCUUUUCCCGCAGGUAGCGGCGUCAGCAGGGACCACGGCCCCCCCGCCCCCUAUAAACCAACCCCACCCAAC
Dunckerocampus dactyliophorus (ringed pipefish) is the source of this 1512-nucleotide long non-coding RNA. RefSeq lists it as uncharacterized. The record is from RefSeq and is a predicted model, not a curated record. NCBI's taxonomy places the organism in Eukaryota, Metazoa, Chordata, Actinopteri, Syngnathiformes, Syngnathidae. The transcript is spliced from 2 exons.